This 464-nucleotide ribosomal RNA is filed under the name uncultured bacterium. Its description in RNAcentral is "partial 16S ribosomal RNA". It matches the Rfam family "Bacterial small subunit ribosomal RNA", at positions 338 to 795 of the family's 1533-position model. The record is from RNAcentral.
CCUACGGGAGGCAGCAGUAGGGAAUCUUCCACAAGGGCGAAAGCCUGAUGGAGCAACGCCGCGUGGGUGAAGAAGGUCUUAGGAUCGUAAAAACCUGGUGGUAGAGAAGGAAGUGCGGGAGGGUAACUGGUUACGUUUCGACGGUAUCUAACCAGAAAGCCAAGGCUAACUACGUGCCAGCAGCCGGGGUAAGACGUAGGUUGCAAGCGUUAACCGGAUUUAUUGGGCGUAAAGGGAACGCAGGCGGUCUUUUAAGUUUGAUGUGAAAGCCUUCGGCUUAACCGGAGUAGUGCAUUGGAAACUGGGAGACUUGAGUGCAGAAGAGGAGAGUGGAACUCCAUGUGUAGCGGUGAAAUGCGUAGAUAUAUGGAAGAACACCAGUGGCGAAAGCGGCUCUCUGGUCUGUAACUGACGCUGAGGUUCGAAAGCGUGGGUAGCAAACAGGAUUAGAUACCCUUGUAGUC